AACCAGGGCCUGUAGCAAGAUGGGAACACACCAAAUUUAAAGUCGUGCCGAAUGCUUGUCCACAGAAUGGACUACAUGGUCAAGCAGAGAGAACAGCAGCCGUACCGGGCACCACUCUCUGGUUCAGCAACUCCGCCACGGUCGUCAGGUGCGUCCCCCGGGCCGCUGAUCAGAAGCAGGACCAUGAUUAAACAGCUGAGGAGAGGCGAAAGGUUGAUGGCCGAACUGAACACGAUGAAAAACAAAAGCACAGGAUGACGUCACUAUACUGGACACAUACGUUAGCGGUCUGCUUCAUUAUCAGAUGCCUGAAGUCCCCCACUUGAAUUCAAACCUACAAAGAUUUGUCGGCAACGACAGCCAGAGCACCACCCCACGAGUCCACAGAGAGGAAAUCACCAGAUCACUUGAGUUCCCAGACCCUAGAAACCCACCUGACCACAGCCUGUCCCUGGGGCCCAGCUCACCCAGGUACCCUUAUAACCAGCUGCCCAGCAAGGACAUCAGCUCUGACCAAUCGGAAGGUUCCAGUGUUACGGGACUCAUGUACAGCUCAACUAGUGCCAACCUGCACCAAAUGAUCACCAAUGCUAAAAAACUACAUUCCACUUACAUCAGAGACAAGUCAAAGGACAGCAACCUUACAUUGCCGACCAUCCUAAACUAGCAACAACUUGUUUUUAGAAUAUAUAAUUUUUAAGUAUAUUAAAAAAAAAUUAAAAUUGUACUUUCAUAAAAAAAAUGUAACAUUAUGUAUAGAAACAACUUAAUAACAUU
Physella acuta is the source of this 777-nucleotide RNA transcript. RefSeq lists it as uncharacterized. The record is from RefSeq and is a predicted model, not a curated record. Lineage: Eukaryota; Metazoa; Mollusca; Gastropoda; Physidae.